This 219-nucleotide long non-coding RNA is filed under the name Nicotiana benthamiana. RNAcentral's name for it is "long non-coding RNA (NBEN_LNC023726)". The record is from RNAcentral. Lineage: Eukaryota; Viridiplantae; Streptophyta; Magnoliopsida; Solanales; Solanaceae.
GCAUCCAACACCCAUGUCAUGUAGUUCUUGCCCGAAAUUUCAAGGGCAACAAACUUUCUUUUCAUAAUGUCAGACAUAAUUAAAACUAAAUUAGGAGGAUAAAAAAUACCUUAAUUUUCUCAAAGAGAUUCUUGAGAUAGUAGAGAUUCGUGCAGAUAACGUGUUACAAAACUUAGCUCAAAGUAAUAAACAAAAAGAUAGACAACAAAGUAGAGAGNN